RNAcentral lists this ribosomal RNA (253 nucleotides) under uncultured bacterium. Its description in RNAcentral is "partial 16S ribosomal RNA". It matches the Rfam family "Bacterial small subunit ribosomal RNA", at positions 524 to 776 of the family's 1533-position model. The record is from RNAcentral.
UACGUAGGGUGCAAGCGUUAAUCGGAAUUACUGGGCGUAAAGCGUGCGCAGGCGGUUUUGUAAGUCUGUCGUGAAAUCCCCGGGCUUAACCUGGGAAUGGCGAUGGAGACUGCAAGGCUAGAAUCUGGCAGAGGGGGGUAGAAUUCCACGUGUAGCAGUGAAAUGCGUAGAGAUGUGGAGGAACACCGAUGGCGAAGGCAGCCUCCUGGGCCAGCACUGACGCUCAUGCACGAAAGCGUGGGGAGCAAACAGG